GCAACAGUAUUUCGAGGUCAGUACGAUAGGAACACUUUGACCAGAUAAGUGGUGUUCGCAAUUGUGUGAUGUCGCAGUGUUGCUAAGCCAUCAUCUGUGGAAGAAUGACUGAAAGCCUCUAAGUCAAAAUUCGAUCUGGUUUGCGAAUUAACUGCGGCCUUUGAUCCAACUAACACAUACAAAA
Molecule: ribosomal RNA, 184 nt
Filed under: Prorocentrum micans
Lineage: Eukaryota; Dinophyceae; Prorocentrales; Prorocentraceae
Description: partial Eukaryotic large subunit ribosomal RNA
Rfam family: Eukaryotic large subunit ribosomal RNA
Source: RNAcentral